RNAcentral lists this ribosomal RNA (301 nucleotides) under uncultured bacterium. Its description in RNAcentral is "partial 16S ribosomal RNA". It matches the Rfam family "Bacterial small subunit ribosomal RNA", at positions 509 to 808 of the family's 1533-position model. The record is from RNAcentral.
CAGUACCGCGGGAAUACGAAGGGUGCAAGCGUUACUCGGAAUUACUGGGCGUAAAGCGUGCGUAGGUGGUGGUUUAAGUCCGUUGUGAAAGCCCUGGGCUCAACCUGGGAAUUGCAGUGGAUACUGGGUCACUAGAGUGUGGUAGAGGAUAGUGGAAUUUCCGGUGUAGCAGUGAAAUGCGUAGAGAUCGGAAGGAACAUCUGUGGCGAAGGCGACUAUCUGGGCCAACACUGACACUGAGGCACGAAAGCGUGGGGAGCAAACAGGAUUAGAUACCCCCGUAGUCCCUGUCUCUUAUACC